GACGAACGCUGGCGGCGUGCUUAACACAUGCAAGUCGAGCGGUAAGGCCCUUUCGGGGGUACACGAGCGGCGAACGGGUGAGUAACACGUGGGUGACCUGCCCUCAGCUCUGGGAUAAGCCUGGGAAACUGGGUCUAAUACCGGAUAUGACUCCAUGACGCAUGUUGUGGGGUGGAAAGCCUUGUGCGGCUGAGGAUGGGCCCGCGGCCUAUCAGCUUGUUGGGGGGUGAUGGCCUACCAAGGCGACGACGGGUAGCCGGCCUGAGAGGGCGACCGGCCACACUGGGACUGAGACACGGCCCAGACUCCUACGGGAGGCAGCAGUGGGGAAUCUUGCGCAAUGGGCGAAAGCCUGACGCAGCGACGCCGCGUGAGGGAUGACGGCCU
RNAcentral lists this ribosomal RNA (387 nucleotides) under uncultured bacterium. Its description in RNAcentral is "bacterial SSU rRNA". It matches the Rfam family "Bacterial small subunit ribosomal RNA", at positions 28 to 417 of the family's 1533-position model. The record is from RNAcentral.